UAAUGACAGUAUCUAAUGGUCACCGUGAACUGUGAAGCUGGCAUGCUUAUUUCAGGGUGCUAGGAAUUUAGAGUCCGAAUGCUGUCCUAUUGUAUAUGUUGGCUUCCUACUAAAGCCGCAUGGAAUUCUUUCUGAAACCAGGCCUGAACUUAGUAAUGACCCCCCCACACACACAUCCCAUCUGAGAACUUCUUGCUCUUCCUUACAAAGGACUGGAACUACUCCAGAGGGUAGCCGCAGAGCGGGACAUACCUACAGAAGCAACAGAAAGAGAGACUACUCUACCACUGCUGGCCAAAACUAUGUCGCCUUUCUCUGACAGGUCACAGCAACUGUCUGUAGAUGCCAUUUGGUAACUAACCUUGCAUUACUCUCUCGUGUCAUGUUGUAUCGUUUUCUUCAAGUAUUCAAGCGUUAUCGAUAUAUUUUUGGACUAUCAUCUUUUCAGCUGCUCUUUUCUUCAAGUAUUUACGACUCUCACUGCUAAUUAUUCAACAGUUGUAAAACAGUAACAUGCAAGUUAAUUGAU
Mesocricetus auratus (golden hamster) is the source of this 529-nucleotide long non-coding RNA. RefSeq lists it as uncharacterized. The transcript is spliced from 3 exons. Lineage: Eukaryota; Metazoa; Chordata; Mammalia; Rodentia; Cricetidae. The record is from RefSeq and is a predicted model, not a curated record.